Molecule: unclassified non-coding RNA, 291 nt
Filed under: Hevea brasiliensis (rubber tree)
Lineage: Eukaryota; Viridiplantae; Streptophyta; Magnoliopsida; Malpighiales; Euphorbiaceae
Source: RNAcentral
GGUAGCUGCUGCUGAUUUAGGAGGGAGUGUGUUGACGGGUACGCUAGGGAACCCACUAGGUAUUUUGGCACGGCAGCUGUCCUGCACACUUCACAAGGUCAGAGACAAAUGCCCUCUUUAUCGUGUGGAUGGGAAGCCAGUUGAUCAAGAUUUAGAUCACAAGGUGGAGACUGCUUAUAAUUUGCUUUUGGAGAAGGCAAGCAAGCUUAGGCAGUUAAUGGGAGAAGUUUCUCAGGAUGUUUCUCUUGGAGCAGCACUGGAGACUUUCCGUCAGGAUUAUGAAGAUGCCGU